GUUUCAAAAUACUGAAAUUGUCAACCUAUUAUCGUUUAGCUGCACGAGGACCUGAAUAUGUUCUAAAGCAGAUGCAGAGGAAAAAUCAAGAAGUAAAUGUUGGCACAUAACUGGAAAUUUGGAAAUCAGUUGCAGGGAUCAAAAGCAGUGGAGAUGGGGUUCAGUACAGUGUUCAUGAUGUUGGAAUAUGACAUGCAUAGCUAUUGAAAUUCUAAUUGGCAAAUCUAUUUUGAGAGUCUUUGUAAUCUACACAUUUUCUGCAAUACAAUGGGAAGAGAUAAGGCUUCCUCCCAAUCUAUCUCAUGCUACGGCAUCAUCAGCAAUUCUUGUUGGAGUCCUAGGUAAAAAAUAUGGAAAAUGUGUAACAGUUCUUCUAUAUGUUCUUGUCCUGGAGCAAGCAACUUAUCAAAUUCUUUGUCUCACAACGCAAGGAAGUGGCUCUACCAUAAGAUUUUCAGCCAUAGCCACUAAUAAUAGAUUGUCAAGCAAUGCGGAAACUGGCCUGAGUCUCAAUAUUCCAUUCACGAUAUGCAAGUUUAAUUUGAAUUGGACACAUAUUUGCCAAUUUUAGAAGUAAUAUUUUAGCAUCAUAUCAUAUACUUUCCAAUAAAAG
This 613-nucleotide unclassified non-coding RNA is filed under the name Hevea brasiliensis (rubber tree). The record is from RNAcentral. Lineage: Eukaryota; Viridiplantae; Streptophyta; Magnoliopsida; Malpighiales; Euphorbiaceae.